Molecule: long non-coding RNA, 6478 nt
Organism: Chelonia mydas (Green sea turtle)
Lineage: Eukaryota; Metazoa; Chordata; Testudines; Cheloniidae
Exons: 3
Source: RefSeq, a predicted model, not a curated record
GAUAAAAAUGCCAGUGUUUACUAUGCAGACAAGAAAAGUUACAUUUGCUGUUCAGGUGUUUGAAAGUUCAGUGUUACUUAAAAUUUUUGAACAAGGCAUUUUAAGUUGUUAGUUCUCCUUUAUUGAGGUUACGGGUAGGUAGAAGAGCAGUACCAUAAGAGGAGUAGAACAGGAAGAAGGCAGAAUUGAGACCUUUCAAAGUUUUGGCCCAAGUGAGGGGGCAUGGGGGCAUCAUUUGAGCUCCCGCCUCAGGUGCCAAAAUGAUGUGGGCCGGCCCUUCAAGUGACUUGGCUCCCAGGUGAAUGGCUAAUCUGUAGCCAAGAGAUACGGGUUUUAAUCCUGGUUUUGACACUGAUUUGCUGGCUGACUGGGUGAAUCAGUUAACUUUUUGGAGCUGCUCUUUCCCCACUCUCUACAAUGGAAUAAUGAUACCGUUGUUCUAAAUAAGGUCUGCAAAGUGCUAAAUAAAUGCAAAGUUUUAAAGUCACUUAAUUCUGGAGAUGAGAAUAAAUCCUGAGAUCUCUGCAUUCCUAUAUCUGUGCUUAAUCCAUUAGGAUGUAUGACAGGGGUGCCUCAACCAGUGCCAUUACCAAAUAUGAUCAGAAUUAUUUUGCUUUCAUGGACAUUUUGCAAACACAAAAACAGGUAAAUUUUGACCAGUUUCCACUCCCCCACUUUUUAGGUGUACUUCAGCCAUCUGAAAAGAGUAUUUACAUGUAUACCCAUUUUAUUUGUGGGUAAACUGAGGCAUAGAGAAGUUAAAUUACUUGCCUAAUAUACAGCAAGUUAGCAGCAGACCUGGGAAGAGAAUCCUGGAGUCCUGAUUCUCAUACCUGUCAUAACUGGACCAUUCUCUCUCGUUGCAUGCUCAUGGCUGGUGGACCGGAUGGAUGUUCUGUGCAAAAACUCUGAAGCAAACGCCACUGCUUAUUAUUUUAAAUUCCACAGUUACUCUUUGCAGGAAACAUAUGUCUUACACUGGGAAUGCAAACCUUGAUUCUAUGGAUCAAAGCUUUAUCUCAGAGUAUUUUUAUAAAAAAUAAAAACCGUAAAAUAGAGCAAUGUUCUACCAAAUUGGGUAAACUUGGCUCAUACUGGAAAUACCCCUUUGUGGUGUCAGUGCUUGUCUAUACUCAAACACAAAAGAGCUUCUAGCAAUUAGUGAAUAUUCGACAACAACAGGCAGCAAAUGGUGGAAUCCUCAGACCCUUGCCUAUACUACUGCAAAUUAAUAAAUAAUUAACCAAGUGUAUGAUGCUUUGCAACACACUCAAGCUCCCUGAAUUGAAUUCCUGUCAUGCAUGGCUAGUAAUGAAAGUUUUAAUAAUUAUAGCUUGGUUAUGUAAUGGCUGUUUACAGCUAGAGAGUGCACACACUUGCCCUUUUCUCAAUGGCGCUACAAUAAUGAUCAUUAAUCAAUGUUUGGAAUAAUCUACCAAUGAUGGUAACUUAGUGCAACUGAAAACAAAGCAUGGGAAACAGAAAAUAAGCAGGAUGCCUCGUGGUAUCAAGCUUCUUACAGAGAUGACCUGAUAUUUGAAAACACCCUGUAUCUUUUCACCACUUUUGACAUUCAGGAAAUGAAAAGCAAUGUCAGGUUAGACAAUUGGAAAGCCAGCAUUUUCUUAUGACAGAUGUCUCUGUCAUGGUGUAGUCUCCAAAUCCCACCUGAUUAGUUUGCUGGUCAAAUCAGGCUUGUUGUUGUUUUUUUACACUACAGUCAGCUGUGCAGAGACUGUGUUCAGCUCUCCCAUGUGCUGUAUCAUCAACAAAACUGCCACCUAAGUUUUCAUUGCAGAAUGUUUACAGUGGCUAGUCAGUGCUGAAUAAAGACUUAAUGAGAGGGACUCAGUCAUCUCUUCACCCUGGCCUCUCUCCGCUGCUGUGCUGGCAGAGAGGGGCCAUAAACAGCCAGCAAGGGGAGAAUUCCCUUGGGGCAAGCACUGCUCUGGACAGCUGUAAGUGGCCUUUCCUUGCUCCACUGAAACCCUGGCAUAGGGCUUAUGUGAGGAUUGUUGGAGAGGACGGAGCUAUAGCACGUGCUGCUAUAGCAUUUCCAGUUUGUCCUGCGACCCUAGGCUGCCAGAGUUGUGCCAUGAGCUGUUUCAGCCCCUAGACAGCCCAAAACUGGGAGAGCACACGUGGCAUAAAGCCACCAUCAUCCCUCGCUCUCCCUCUCCAUCUUGUGUCUCCUGGAGAAGUAGCCCAGAAUCCCGGCCAUAGGCUGUUACUGGGGGGCGUGGAAUCUAUUAGGCAAGUGCGUGUUAAAUAAGAAGCGGUGCCUUGCAAAAUACAGUCAGUGAGGUGAAAGCACUUGAGUGGUGCCUCCAUAUUGCUGCAUUUUCUGUUGUAGGCUAAGGGGCCAGACCCUAGGUGGCCUGUACAGCUCUCCCUGUUCACUGGGAAAUAGCAUGUAAGAAGCUUGGCCGCAACAAAUGUCUCCUAUGUGGGGGAAAAAACCUGUCUGCCCUCAUGAUGACUUGUGACCCUAUCUAGGACCCUGUUAACUGGGAUGCCCCAGCUAUGCUGUCCUAUAUUAGAUACUCGAGAAUCAGAUUGUGUGACAUAUUUAUCAGCAGCUUGCAGCUGUGGAGUAUGCCACAUGCAUUAUGCGGGCUGAUUGCCAGGAUCUGACACACCUCUUCUGAGUCAGAAAAUUAAAGUGUAAGGGGAGGGGAGACUGGGCAAGGCAAGGAAGACAGAUGACUCAUAACAGAGAGAGAGCCCAUCAUCCUUGGAAGGUGCAAGGCCCUGAAAUUUUGGGAGUCCUAACUGGUUGUUUCUUUGAAAUAAGCAAUGUCAUUGCUGGGUCUCUUGAGAUCAGGGUGUGCAAACCUUCCACACAGCUGAUGGAUUUAGGGUCUCCCAGGAGAGGUUCUUAGUGUUCCUAACAUUCUCCAGAGAAUUUAAAUUUUAAUUCAUUUAAAAAAAAUUCUAACUCUUCUGGUUGUGAGAAAACCUUCCAAAUUCGCUGUCUGAAGGAGUGUGCAGAUGGACUUUACCAAUGCCACUGAACGUCCCCUGCUCAUCUCCGUGGCGCUGCUGGCUCGGAAGCCCGAUGACCAUUUAAAUGUCAGUAUUGUUAGUGUAACCCUUCUGCCAGUCGGAGUUGGCAGCAACAAGGGCUGGGUUCAGUAUGUAGGGGUUCCUUUUCAAUAACAUAAUGCAAAACUGGCUUGAGCCCCCACCCAGUGACCUGGGACAAUUACAUACCACCCCCCUGCGCGCCUCUAAGAGGCAAUACUUCCCCUCUCGCAAGCACAGAGUCCCGAGUGUAGCAAAAGCCUUUCAAUAAAGGAGGGAAACAAUGUGGCAUUAUGUUGGGGAAACACCACGAACAGGAUUCAUAACACAAACCAUGAGCAAAAGACCCAUCCCCAAGUAAGUUUGGCAGUGUCCCUUUCCCCCUUAAGUCCAGCAACCCAAAAGUCACCCCACCCACAGUUUCUGUCCUUGAUCAGUGCAGCCCCAGAGUUCAGAAGAUUUUUAGAACAACUUAUAUUCUGUGAAACAUUUUGGUUUGGUUUGGUUUUUCCGACCUUUCAUCCUACUUGAGGAUGAAAACAAAUAUUGAAAAAAAUCAGAUUGUUCUAGAGCAUGGAAAUUCCAUUUUUCUAUCAACCGUAGAACUCAUUAACCAGUUUGUCCCCAUAGAAAUAAUUAAAAGGGGAAGCAAGAGUAAAGUAAACAUUUUUUAAGUUUCAUUAUUUUUCUGUCUUUGAGGUAUGAGAAGCUGCUGGUUUUGGAAACUGAUAUUUUCACGACUUGGUGGGUAGAAAGCAACUAAAAAUGACAGUUUUUGUGCUCAGCUGCAACCUUGCCUCUGUAUAAACAGAGCUCAAAGCCAUAAAAAUAAGGUAACGGCCAAUUUUGCAAAAAGUGUAGCUUUAUUUUUGUUGUUGUUUUCAUUGUGGUUUAGCAAGGUGGGUAGCUUUUGUUGUUUCUUCAGGAAAUGAGCUGUCGACUGUAAGCAGUUUGCUGUCCCUAGUAUCUGGUUGCCCCUGACACCUGCGUGAACUGGUUAUAUAUAGGUGAUAGUUCUAGAAAUGCACACAGGUUAGUCAGAUCAUGACAUUCACGCCAGCAGCUGCAGUUCAUGUAAUGGGUAUAGCUGUUUGGAAACUGGAAUUUCCAUUUUGUGGGAAAUUCCAACAUUUCAAAAUGUGUUCAGAAUAAAAAGCCAAAAUGUCAACUUCCCCCCGAAACGAAAACUGAGAAAAAUGUUGAUUUGGAAUGACUGAAACACUUCCUUUAGAUAAUGUUGAAACAUUAUAAAGUAACAUAAAAUAGUAUAAUAUAUAUUAUACAAUAUUUUUAGUGUUAUGCUGUACCAGUCAAAAUGAAAUUAAUCAAAAAGAUAGUAAAAACUAAACAUUUUACCUUAUCGAAACAAGGAAGUCAAAAAGAUUUCUUUUGCCUUUUUCCCAUCAAACAUGUUGUCAAAAAUCGACACUACCUGCCAAACCUUUUGAUCAAUGAAACUGCAUUUUGACAAAAAAAUUGUUCCAUCAAAAAAUUUUCUGACAUCUCUACUAGUGAGACUCCACUCCGUCCUCUGAGGUAUAAAUUGUAAAGGAGCAGAUGGUGCAUAAAAUGGAGGUACUGACUCUGCUAUGCAUGCUGCAGCAAUGCUACCCAUCGUGCAAAACCACAUUUGCUCUGAAUGAACAUAGACCAAAUGGGACUCAGCUGAGGACAAGAACAGCCAGAGUCAGCAGCUCAUUUCCCACAUAGUGAAACAUUGUUUCCACUGGACCAACGGAACUGUGCAAUUCCAAAGCAAAGAAGCAUUGGCCAUGGACAUAUUAAUGAUAUAGAAGCAGGUUUAUUGUAGUUAGCACAUGCCCUUCCCCAUCAUAACAUGCAAUCUGCAUGCUUUAUAACUCUCAGAAAUAAAAGAGGUUAUUAAUCUAUUUGGUUCUUGUUGACCUUAACACAGCUGUUAGAAGUCCUCCAGUCUGGUCCUGUCCAUCAUUCCACAUUUCCAGAGGCAUUAUGAGUUUAUGACAUGUGCUUGGCCUGGAAGCCAGGAAUGAGGAGGAAAUGAUAUGUUCCUCCAGCACUUUCUUAUGAGAACAUCCUUUCAGUAACUUAUGGCUGGGGUCUCGGGUAAAUCCUGCCUUUCAGAUGUGGAUUAAGUAAUGUAUAUUCCAAUGUUAUCAAUGAAUAUUCUUCUCUCUGCUGAUUGCAGCACAUGAAGACAGUUUGAGAGCUACAUUUUUUAACAGUGGCUGCCAGCAGGAUCUCAGUUUGGUUUAAAUUUAUUUUGCUAUUAUCCUAGCCCAAGGUACUGAUAGACGUACUUUAAGUGGCAGCACCAGGCUUAUCCUUGCAUCAUCGCACCGACUCACUGAGUGACCUCAACCAUUUAUCAAGGAUUGUUAACUCGCAACCAGAUUCUGGUAGGUGAAGGUAAACUUAACAUCUGCAUUUUCUCUCUGAGCUGAAUUCUGGUCCAUGUUGCUUUGACAAAGUAAAACAGACCUAAAAUAUAUAUAUUGCAUUUUGCUGUUCAUCUGAAAAUCUCAAAAUGCUUUACCAAGCCGUCUCCUGUUGUUCACAUUUUACAGAUGGGGAAACUGAGGUACAGAGCAUUGACAUAAUAUGCACAAAGGCCCACAGUAAAUCUGUAGCAGAGCCAGGACUAGAACAGAUCUCCUGGCUCCCAGUUUUGUGAUCUAAACAGAGACCACCCUGCUUCCUUCUUAUGUGCUAUAUAGUACUAUGAAAAUUCCUUCCCCUCCAGGAAUCUUGCAGAUUAAAUGGGCAGCUACAAUUGAUAUGUGACAUAAUUUAUUUCAAUUUUGGCUGUGGAACUGACUCAACUGUAAAAUAAAGAGUUGAUGUUCUAAAUACUCCAAUGGCCAGCAGUGUUUCUAGUUACACAUAGUAAAGAACUGCUCAGGGACUCCGAGAGCACAAUUCAUUCCCUAAUGUUUCUAUACUUUACUUAAAACAGGCCCUGUAUUGCAAUCGAUUCUCUGCUACCUCCAGAUGCAGGCUGUUUGCAUCACUCUUCUAUUCAGGUUCUCCAUGCCGGAGGGAUCUGCUCAAGAGGCUCAAAGUGACUUUAGUUGGGCUGAAGACCUGGCCCUGUGUCUUUGAGGAAAUUUGUUGCCUUUCUCCUGGCCUCAGGCUCUGUGAAUACAACAAGGUACUGAGCAGCUGGAUGGAAGGAGAAAGACCCUGCCCCUUCACCAUCACUUUUUUGUGGGUGUUUCUCCAUCAUGUACCAAUUAGCAUGUCCAGAAUUUUCCCACUCAUGAAAUCAAGGUGACCUUUUACUAACUUCUGGGAACAGAAUUGCUUUUCUUUCUUCAGUCUGUGCACGCUUCCCCUAAUUUGUUUUGAAUGUUUAAAGAGCUGUUAAAUGAUCCCGUAUCUCAUCUGGUGUUUCUGGCAUGGAUCUCAACUGGACUUAGAUUUUAUUUCACUCUUCAGAUUUCCUUUAUCAAUAAAUUACUGUACUUGCACUAUC